AGGAGGGGAGCGAGGAAGGGCCGGAGCCCAGCCCCGAGGGGCCAUUCCCGGAUCCCAGCCCCGUUCUGCCCCAAAACCGCCGGGUUUUGCCCCAAAAUCCCCGGGUCAAGCGGCGCUGGCUGCAGCAGGACCUGGUGCUCACCUGCGAGGAGGAUGAGGAGGAGCCGCCCCCGAUGGAGGCGGGGGAAAAUUGGGGAAUGGGAUCCCCGGAAAAUUCGGGAAUGGGAUCCGGGAGGGGUCGGGGCUCCUGGGGCAGCGAGGAGAUUCAUGGAAAUGAGGAAAUUUUGCUCGGAAAUGAGGGAAUUUCACACAGAAAUGAGGGAAUUUCACCCGGAACCGAGGGAACCGUGCACAGAACCGGCAGAAUUUUGCACGAAAACGAAGGAAUUUUGCACAGAACCCGCAGAAUUUUGCACGAAAACGAGGAAAUUUUGACCGGAAUCGUAAUUUCGCACGAGAACGAGGGAAUUCUAACUGGAAUCAGCGGAAUUUCGCAUGAAAGUUCGGGAAUUUUGAGCAGAACCGGCAGAAUUCGGGACGGAACCGGGGGAAUUUUGACCAGAACCGGAGGGAUUUUGCACGAAAACGAAGGAAUUUUAAGCAGAAUAAGAGGAAUUUCUCACAGAACUUUGGGAAUUUCGCAGGAAAAUUUGGGAAUUUUGACCAAACCCGCCAGAAUUCGUAAGGGAACUGAGGGAAUUUUGAGGGGAACCGGAGGAAUUCUGCACGAAAACGAAGAAACUUCAGCGGGAAUCAGAGGAAUUCCACACAAAAUUUCACAAAGAACUUCGGGAAUUCCGCAGGAAAACUCGGGAAUUUUGAUCAGAACCGGCAGAAUUCGGGAGGGAACCGCGGGAAUUUUGAGCGGAACUGGUGAAAUUCCCCUCGAAAAUGAAGGAAUUUUGACCGGAACCGGCGGAAUUUUGCACGAAAACGAAGGCAUUUUAACUGGAAUCAGAGGAAUUCCGCACAAAAUUUCACACAGAACCGCGGGAAUUUCGCAGGAAAAAUCGGGAAUUUUGACCAGAACCGGCAGAAUUUCGCACAGAGCCACUGGAAUUCAGGACAGAACCGCGGGAAUUUUGACGGGAACCGGCAGAAUUUGGUACGAAAGUGAGGGAAUUUUGACCGGAACCGGCGAAAUUCCGCACGAAAACUCGGGAAUUCUGACCGGAAUCAAAGGAAUUCCACACAAAAUUUCGCACAGAACCGCGGGAGUUUCGGAGGGAACUGAGGGAAUUUUGACCGGAACCGGCGAAAUUCCGGACGGAACCGCGGGAAUUUUGCACCGAGCGGGCGGAAUUCCGCACGAAAACGAAGGAAUUCUACCCGGAGUCAGAGGAAUUUCGCACAGAACUUCGGGAAUUCCGCAGGAAAUUUCGGGAAUUCUGACCAGAACCGGCAGAAUCCGGGACGGAACCGAGGAAAUUUUGGCAGGAACCGACGGAAUUCCGCACGGAAAUGAAGGAAUUUUAACCGGAAUCAGAGGAAUUCCGCACAAAAAUUCGCAGGAAAAUUCGGGAAUUUUGACCAGAACCGCCAGAAUUCGUGAGGGAACCGCGGGGAUUUUGCACAGAACCGGCAGAAUUCUGGACGGAACCGCGGGGAUUUUGUGCAGAACGGGCAGAAUUCGGGAGGGAACCGCGGGAAUUUCGGGCAGAGCCGGCGGAAUUCCGGAGGAAAACGCGGGAAUUUUGGGCGGAACGGGCAAAAUUCGGGAGGGAACCGCGGGAAUUCCGGACGGAACCGCGGGGAUUUCGAGCAGAACCGUGAAAAUUCGCGAGGGAACCGCGGGAAUUUCGGGCAGAACGGGCAGAAUUCCGCAGGAAAACGCGGGAAUUCCGCCCAGAACCGCGCGGAUCAGAGCGCCCCGCCCCGGCCACGCCCCCGGCCCCGCCCAGGCCGCACCUGCGCGCCAGGUGAGCGCGGGCAGGGCGGGCAAGGGCGGGCAGGUGUUCGUGUGCCACUGCGGGAAGGCGUUCUCGCACCGCUCCAUGCGGCAGCGGCACGUGAACAUGCACCUGGGGCUGCGGCCGUUCACCUGCGCGCUCUG
Molecule: long non-coding RNA, 2053 nt
Organism: Junco hyemalis (dark-eyed junco)
Lineage: Eukaryota; Metazoa; Chordata; Aves; Passeriformes; Passerellidae
Source: Ensembl